Molecule: transfer RNA, 75 nt
Filed under: Bartonella bacilliformis
Lineage: Bacteria; Pseudomonadati; Pseudomonadota; Alphaproteobacteria; Hyphomicrobiales; Bartonellaceae
Also listed under: 13 other names
Description: tRNA-Val
Rfam family: tRNA
About the family: Transfer RNA (tRNA) molecules are approximately 80 nucleotides in length.
Source: RNAcentral
GGGCGUGUAGCUCAGCGGGAGAGCACUACGUUGACAUCGUAGAGGUCACAGGUUCAAUCCCUGUCACGCCCACCA